This 441-nucleotide ribosomal RNA is filed under the name uncultured bacterium. Its description in RNAcentral is "partial 16S ribosomal RNA". It matches the Rfam family "Bacterial small subunit ribosomal RNA", at positions 339 to 795 of the family's 1533-position model. The record is from RNAcentral.
CUACGGGGGGCUGCAGCGGGGAAUAUUGGGCAAUGGGCGCAAGCCUGACCCAGCAACGCCGCGUGAGGGAAGAAGGUUUUCGGAUUGUAAACCUCUGUCCUUGGGGACGAAGAAGUGACGGUACCCAAGGAGGAAGCUCCGGCUAACUACGUGCCAGCAGCCGCGGUAAUACGUAGGGAGCAAGCGUUGUCCGGAAUUACUGGGCGUAAAGGGUGCGUAGGCGGCAUAUUAAGUCAGGUGUGAAAUACUCGGGCUCAACCCGGGGGCUGCAUUUGAAACUGAUAUGAUUGAGUGUGAGAGAGGAAAGUGGAAUUCCUAGGGUAGCGGUGGAAUGCGUAGAUAUUAGGAGGAACACCAGUGGCGAAGGCGACUUUCUGGCUCAUAACUGACGCUGAGGCACGAAAGCGUGGGGAGCAAACAGGAUUAGAUACCCGAGUAGUC